This 1049-nucleotide long non-coding RNA is filed under the name Macaca mulatta (Rhesus monkey). RNAcentral describes it as "lncRNA (ENSMMUG00000063931.1)". The record is from RNAcentral. Lineage: Eukaryota; Metazoa; Chordata; Mammalia; Primates; Cercopithecidae.
AGAAGACAAGGGGGACAGAGUCAUAGUUCAACUGUCCAGAUAGAAAGGUGGACAUGGAAAAAUUGGGCUUUGCAAACAGUCACCCAAUUCUUGCCUUCCUGGUCCCUGGAUCACCCUUCCUAUACCACCACUGUGGAGAAAGAAGUACAGGACACUAACAAGGUACAACUACUUUCUACCCUGCCAGGACUUGACUUAAAAGAUGACCAUGCACAGAACAUUGCCCAAGAUGCUUGCCUUUCCUCUUUGCAGACAUGAUUUGGCAGGAAUUUAGUCUUCCAUUUAGGCGAUUAAGGAUGUGGUUUGAUGUUUCUAUUUAAUCUUUAUGCAGCGGCCUUCAUGAGCCAGGUCAAAUCUCAUCAAAGUUUCAAGUGAAAAGCAGUUGUUCUUUGCCCACUGAACUCAAAUAUUUUAUCAUAAGUCUUCACUAAAUGCCUAAUGUAUGCAGCAAAAAAAUAAAUAUAAGUCACAGAAAAACAUUUAAAGAAACAUGUUCAGAAUCCAUAACUAAAAAACUAAUAUAAAGCAAAUCAAAGAAGGUAAUUUAGGCCUAGGAGUUAGAGGACUAGAAUUAUUCAGGCCAUGUGGCUUAAAUGCUUAUAGAAUAGUGGUUUCUGGCACAGUCUCUCGAGUCAGAAUGCCUCAUUCAAAUCCUGGGUCUUUCAUUGACUACCUAUGCAACUUUGGGUUAUCACAAAGUUUAAUUAAUAUACAUAAAACACUCACACCAGUAUUUCACACAGAGGGUAAGUGUUAGCUAAUGCCGUUGUUAUUAUUGGUGUUGCUAUUAUGAGCUACAAAACAUGAACAAUUGAAUUCUAUCUUUGGGCAGCAAUGUCUUUAUUCAUAAAAUGAGGGCAAGAUAUUAUCUUUUCUAACUAUGUUCUGAAAUGACUUGGGGCUCCUCUGCCCCAUCCCAUUCUACAUUUUAUUCAUUUUAUUCAUCAUCUUGGGGUUUCAUGUACUUUUUUACUUGCAGAAAGGACUCUAAAAAACAAGUUGCAAAUCACUAGGCCAGAUGGUAUAAGGUCUGUCUUCAACGAAAGUUU